GGGGCGGUGGCCGAGCGGUCGAAGGCGCUUGAUUUGAAAUCAAGAGUGCGCUGCACCGGGGGUUCGAAUCCCUCCCGCCUCA
Molecule: transfer RNA, 82 nt
Filed under: Lotharella oceanica
Lineage: Eukaryota; Cercozoa; Chlorarachniophyceae
Description: tRNA-Ser
Rfam family: tRNA
About the family: Transfer RNA (tRNA) molecules are approximately 80 nucleotides in length.
Source: RNAcentral